Long non-coding RNA from Saccostrea echinata, 521 nucleotides. RefSeq lists it as uncharacterized. The record is from RefSeq and is a predicted model, not a curated record. NCBI's taxonomy places the organism in Eukaryota, Metazoa, Mollusca, Bivalvia, Ostreida, Ostreidae. The transcript has 3 exons.
CCCAAUCAAUGCAUAUUUUGUGCACUUGGCUGCACUGCACGUAAUAUCAGAUUUUCAAAACGAAACUAGGAAUGGCGGACAAAGAAAAGGACGAGGAAAAUAAAACAAUAAGGAGGGCUUUCACCGUGAUUACGUCCCCUGUCUGGGUUCCGGUAGCCGCUGUGGGGUCGCUAGUGGCUGCUCCAUUCCAGGCUGUUAAAGAUUCUGUAGACGUGGCUGACAAAACAGACUCUGCUGGCGCUGGCGUGUCCAGUUUCCCCGGGAAUGCUGUCGUCCGGGCGAUCACAAACCCCUUUAAGGGGGUGGCAAAAGUAGGGGAGGCAAUGUGGGGCAAAGACAAGGAAUAACGAAUAGAAGAUAAAAUACAGUUCUAAUGGUAACAUUUUAGAAAACGCAUUAGAAUUCUGCUUAUUGUGACUUAGUUAAAAUAAACUUCAUGUUUAUAUAAUUAAGGAUUUUUUUCUGCAAUUGUAUAUAUGACAAUGAUUCUGUCUUAUUUUCAAUAAAUAAUAAAGCUUGUC